ACAGGGGGGGCAAGCGUUGUUCGGAAUUACUGGGCGUAAAGGGCGCGUAGGCGGCCUGCUAAGUCGAACGUGAAAUCCCCGGGCUCAACCCGGGAACUGCGUCCGAUACUGGUUGGCUUGAAUUCGGGAGAGGGAUGCGGAAUUCCAGGUGUAGCGGUGAAAUGCGUAGAUAUCUGGAGGAACACCGGUGGCGAAGGCGGCGCGCUGGACCACUACUGACGCUGAGGAACGAAAGCUAGGGGAGCAAACAGGA
RNAcentral lists this ribosomal RNA (253 nucleotides) under uncultured prokaryote. RNAcentral describes it as "partial 16S ribosomal RNA". It matches the Rfam family "Bacterial small subunit ribosomal RNA", at positions 525 to 777 of the family's 1533-position model. The record is from RNAcentral.